GAGUUUGAUCAUGGCUCAGAUUGAACGCUGGCGGAAUGCUUUACACAUGCAAGUCGAACGGCAGCAUAGAGAGCUUGCUCUCUGAUGGCGAGUGGCGAACGGGUGAGUAAUAUAUCGGAACGUACCUAGUAAUGGGGAACAACUAGCCGAAAGGUUAGCUAAUACCGCAUACGACCUACGGGUGAAAGCAGGGGAUCUUCGGACCUUGCGUUAUUAGAGCGGCCGAUAUCUGAUUAGGUAGUUGGUGGGGUAAAAGCCUACCAAGCCAACGAUCAGUAGCUGGUCUGAGAGGACGAUCAGCCACACUGGAACUGAGACACGGUCCAGACUCCUACGGGAGGCAGCAGUGGGGAAUUUUGGACAAUGGGGGCAACCCUGAUCCAGCCAUUCCGCGUGAGUGAAGAAGGCCUUCGGGUUGUAAAGCUCUUUCACAAGAGAAGAAAUCUUACUAUCAAAUAAAUCGUAAGGAUGACGGUAUCUUGAGAAGAAGCACCGGCUAACUACGUGCCAGCAGCCGCGGUAAUACGUAGGGUGCGAGCGUUAAUCGGAAUUACUGGGCGUAAAGCGUGCGCAGGCGGUUUUAUAAGUCAGAUGUGAAAUCCCCGAGCUCAACUUGGGAACUGCGUUUGAAACUGUAAGACUAGAGUGUGUCAGAGGGGGGUAGAAUUCCAUGUGUAGCAGUGAAAUGCGUAGAUAUAUGGAGGAAUACCAAUGGCGAAGGCAGCCCCCUGGGAUAACACUGACGCUCAUGCACGAAAGCGUGGGGAGCAAACAGGAUUAGAUACCCUGGUAGUCCACGCCCUAAACGAUGUCUACUAGUUGUUGGUGGAGUAAAAUCCAUGAGUAACGCAGCUAACGCGUGAAGUAGACCGCCUGGGGAGUACGGUCGCAAGAUUAAAACUCAAAGGAAUUGANNGGGCCCGCACAAGCGGUGGAUUAUGUGGGAUUAAAUUCGAUGCAACGCGAAAAACCUUACCUGGCCCUUGAC
Molecule: ribosomal RNA, 988 nt
Filed under: uncultured bacterium
Lineage: Bacteria
Description: bacterial SSU rRNA
Rfam family: Bacterial small subunit ribosomal RNA
Source: RNAcentral